Molecule: long non-coding RNA, 784 nt
Filed under: Mus spicilegus (steppe mouse)
Lineage: Eukaryota; Metazoa; Chordata; Mammalia; Rodentia; Muridae
Description: lncRNA (ENSMSIG00000018700.1)
Source: RNAcentral
GGUUUUUUGGUUUUCUUCAUUGCAAUCUUCCUAAAUUGCACAUUUCAUAAGACCGUCAGGAAAAAGUCAGGAAAUGAGGUUUCCAGGAAGAGGGAGGCGGAGAAUACAGGGCCGGGUGGGAAGCCGGAGAAUAGGAGAGCAGUCUUUCAUUAUCACGACCUGUUCCACGCACACCCUCUCCCGGUGCCAUCCUCGCGCUGGAUGCGAGCCAUCCUCUGGGCUAAUGAGCUAGGCGCGGGAGAUAACUAAUCCUAAUGCAAUUACCGCUCGGUGCAGCACUGAUAGGUCCACUGUGCUCCCCGCGUGCCCAGCAGCCUGAGCCAGGCUGGAGCAGCUGGGCCUCAGCCUCCUGUCGGAGACGUUUUGACAGCUGUAUACAGUCCCGGGCCCCCUCCCACGGCCCGCGUCCCGGGAGAGUGAUCUUUUCACAGCGAGUCCCCAUGAAGCCUGUCGGAGCUGAACACGGCAUCCAUGUCUACAUCCUCUGGACGUUGGGAAAGUAGAAGAACUCACAACCAUUUCUUGGACUCCACCAGUACCACGGGUGGCCAGUCAGGAGGAAUCUGUUUAGAUUGCAUCUGAGCUCAUCAAAGCAAUUGUCUCUUUUCAAAGGAUUUUCACACUUCAUUUGUCCUCACAACUUUUCAGGUAAUUCAGACAAAUUGAAAACUUUACUUUCGUCUAAAUGCACUGAAGGCAGAGUAGGAGCAGAGGGGCUGAGCACAGCUAAUUGACUCAGCCUUUAGGCUCGCUCUCUGUUAGGGAUUUGAGCAGAAAAGAGCUU